Molecule: long non-coding RNA, 422 nt
Organism: Physella acuta
Lineage: Eukaryota; Metazoa; Mollusca; Gastropoda; Physidae
Source: RefSeq, a predicted model, not a curated record
CAAGCAAAGGAAAACUUAAGCCGCAUUAAACCAUUAUCCCCAACACCUAACCGCUAUCAAUUCAACUUAAAGCGCAGGCUGCACUUGGUUCAAACGUGAACCAUAUAAUCGAAACCUGACUACAUUUCCAAAACAUUUUAUCUAACUAUGAGGGUACUGAUCUUUUUGAUUCUACUGACUGGGGCUUUGUGCAAGAGCAUUUUACGUAGUCCCGACAAGUGCUCCCAUUCCUUCUGUGAUGAUGGUUCAUUUAAUUGCUGUCAAGGUUACAAGUGUGGAGUUGGGGAACUGAAAGGGUAUUGCAUUCCAAAAAAUACAGUCAAUCAGGAAAAAAGGUCCGGUGCACUAUCAAUAUCCCAAAUAUAUCGUUGAAUCGUCAGAUUGUAAAGAAAAACCAAAUAAAACUCAAUUGUUUGAAUAAC